Molecule: ribosomal RNA, 882 nt
Filed under: Limosilactobacillus fermentum
Lineage: Bacteria; Bacillati; Bacillota; Bacilli; Lactobacillales; Lactobacillaceae
Description: bacterial SSU rRNA
Rfam family: Bacterial small subunit ribosomal RNA
Source: RNAcentral
AGAUGGCUUCUCGCUAUCACUUCUGGAUGGACCUGCGGUGCAUUAGCUUGUUGGUGGGGUAACGGCCUACCAAGGCGAUGAUGCAUAGCCGAGUUGAGAGACUGAUCGGCCACAAUGGGACUGAGACACGGCCCAUACUCCUACGGGAGGCAGCAGUAGGGAAUCUUCCACAAUGGGCGCAAGCCUGAUGGAGCAACACCGCGUGAGUGAAGAAGGGUUUCGGCUCGUAAAGCUCUGUUGUUAAAGAAGAACACGUAUGAGAGUAACUGUUCAUACGUUGACGGUAUUUAACCAGAAAGUCACGGCUAACUACGUGCCAGCAGCCGCGGUAAUACGUAGGUGGCAAGCGUUAUCCGGAUUUAUUGGGCGUAAAGAGAGUGCAGGCGGUUUUCUAAGUCUGAUGUGAAAGCCUUCGGCUUAACCGGAGAAGUGCAUCGGAAACUGGAUAACUUGAGUGCAGAAGAGGGUAGUGGAACUCCAUGUGUAGCGGUGGAAUGCGUAGAUAUAUGGAAGAACACCAGUGGCGAAGGCGGCUACCUGGUCUGCAACUGACGCUGAGACUCGAAAGCAUGGGUAGCGAACAGGAUUAGAUACCCUGGUAGUCCAUGCCGUAAACGAUGAGUGCUAGGUGUUGGAGGGUUUCCGCCCUUCAGUGCCGGAGCUAACGCAUUAAGCACUCCGCCUGGGGAGUACGACCGCAAGGUUGAAACUCAAAGGAAUUGACGGGGGCCCGCACAAGCGGUGGAGCAUGUGGUUUAAUUCGAAGCUACGCGAAGAACCUUACCAGGUCUUGACAUCUUGCGCCAACCCUAGAGAUAGGGCGUUUCCUUCGGGAACGCAAUGACAGGUGGUGCAUGGUCGUCGUCAGCUCGUGUCGUGAGA